CAGCCGCCGCGGGAAUACGGAGGGAGCUAGCGUUGUUCGGAAUUACUGGGCGUAAAGCGCACGUAGGCGGCUUUGUAAGUUAGAGGUGAAAGCCUGGGGCUCAACUCCAGAAUUGCCUUUAAGACUGCAUCGCUUGAACACGAGAGAGGUGAGUGGAAUUCCGAGUGUAGAGGUGAAAUUCGUAGAUAUUCGGAAGAACACCAGUGGCGAAGGCGGCUCACUGGCUCGUUGUUGACGCUGAGGUGCGAAAGCGUGGGGAGCAAACAGGAUUAGAUACCCCUGUAGUCCCUGUCUCUUAUAC
This 301-nucleotide ribosomal RNA is filed under the name uncultured bacterium. RNAcentral describes it as "partial 16S ribosomal RNA". It matches the Rfam family "Bacterial small subunit ribosomal RNA", at positions 509 to 807 of the family's 1533-position model. The record is from RNAcentral.